GAGCUUUCUUUGCUAGUACUUAUAUUAAAAUUGUAACACUGCAGAGAAUAUUAACAUGGCCUUUUUUUUAAGGAUGACACACAUUCGUGAAGCAUUCCAUGUGCAU
This 106-nucleotide small nuclear RNA is filed under the name Phascolarctos cinereus (koala). The record is from RNAcentral. Lineage: Eukaryota; Metazoa; Chordata; Mammalia; Diprotodontia; Phascolarctidae.